Molecule: transfer RNA, 73 nt
Filed under: Coccorella atlantica (Atlantic sabertooth)
Lineage: Eukaryota; Metazoa; Chordata; Actinopteri; Aulopiformes; Evermannellidae
Also listed under: 1 other name
Description: tRNA-Pro
Rfam family: tRNA
About the family: Transfer RNA (tRNA) molecules are approximately 80 nucleotides in length. Their secondary structure includes four short double-helical elements and three loops (D, anti-codon, and T loops).
Source: RNAcentral
CAGAGGGGAGUUUAUUCAGUAAGAAUAUUAGCUUUGGGAGCUGAAGGUGGGAGUUCGAAUCUCCCCCCUCUGA